CAGUCCUCCGGAGGUUUGAGGAGCUAAGCAGAUGAUUCUAAAGCACAGCAAAGUUGAGACACUAAAUGCUGGGCGUGGGUACGAGCAAUGCUGCCAUCAUUUCAAUUGCGGGCUGGGCCAAAUCUUUGUGCUCAGCAAAGACCUUUUCACCAGGGGCGUGAAUAGAGCAGGUCUUGUUUGAAUGGCUGUAUGGAUUUUGCAUGAAUCACCCCUGUCCAACGCUGGAGACACCCUUUCCAGAAGAUCCUGAUUCCAGUCUGCAUCCAUCAACCAGUUGCAAGGCUCUUGGAAGCAUCUCUGGGCUUUUGAGCGAUUUCACUCGACCAGAAAACCCAGUGGCUGGACUGAGGAGCAGUCAUGAGACGGAAGCCACGGCAGAUGGAAGCUGGACAUUGCUUUGAUCAGAUGCUCAAGUGACAGGGGACGAGAGCUACCACCUCCAACUUUCCACAAGCUCUUGCUUGCAGUGCCCAUGUCAGGGCUGAGAUGCUUGCUUAAGUCUAGCUCUGGAGCCGAAAUCACUCUUAUUUCUGCGUCCAGAGCGGGCCUGGGGAACCUUUUACCCGAGGCGAUGAGAGGAAGACACUGUGAGCCACCCUCUCCCCACUACAGGCUGUGUGACUACAGAACAGGCAUGGAGAUUGUAAUGUUCAACCCGUUUCUGCAUUUCUCCUGCUCCAUGAAGACUGCAUUCCUCAGAUGCAGGUGACCUGUAUCCAGAGGUGCUUUUGAAGCAUGUGUGGGGAAAGUGCCCUGCCUGCACGGAACAGAGGAAGGCAAAGGCUUCUAGGCACCCCAGGCAUCCAGGAGGACAUGCAACCAGUGUCCUUUUCAGAGAUGGGGCACCUACAGGUACCCGUGUAGAAAUGGACCUAGGGACAAAAACAGAGCUGCCCUGCUGGGCAGUCUCUAACAGAGGAUGGAAAUGCCCGUUUUCUUGUGUAUGGGAAGUCUAGGGUAGCACGUGCUAAUCCUGGGUGGCUUGUGGAAGAAGAAAAGAUGCUGCAGAGAGGACAACCCUCUUCCCCUUGUCCCCUGGCCCUAUGUUAUCUACAGAAGGGAAGAGGGAGAGGGACAGAGGCAAAGAGGACUAUUGAAUACCAGCCCUGAGCCAAGCAGCCCUCUGGGCUCUAAGGUGUAUUCGCACUGAAUGGCUCCCUCAUGGUCCCACAGUUGUUACUACAGCGC
This 1188-nucleotide long non-coding RNA is filed under the name Mus musculus (house mouse). RNAcentral describes it as "RIKEN cDNA F930017D23 gene". The record is from RNAcentral. Lineage: Eukaryota; Metazoa; Chordata; Mammalia; Rodentia; Muridae.